GAUGAACGCUAGCGGCAGGCCUAAUACAUGCAAGUCGAACGAUAUUUUCCAGCUUGCUGGGAGAGAAAGUGGCGCACGGGUGCGUAACGCGUAUGCAACCUACCUUUAUCAGGGGGAUAGCCCGGAGAAAUCCGGAUUAAUACCGCAUAAAAUCACAGAACGGCAUUGUUCAAUGAUCAAACAUUUAUGGGAUAAAGAUGGGCAUGCGUGUCAUUAGCUAGUUGGCGGGGUAACGGCCCACCAAGGCGACGAUGACUAGGGGAUCUGAGAGGAUGGCCCCCCACACGUGUACUGAGACACGGACCAGACUCCUACGGGAGGCAGCAGUAAGGAAUAUUGGUCAAUGGAGGCAACGCUGAACCAGCCAUGCCGCGUGCAGGAAGACUGCCCUAUGGGUUGUAAACUGCUUUUAUCCGGGAAUAAGCCUCCGAUCGUGAUCGGAGCUGAAUGUACCGGAAGAAUAAGGAUCGGCUAACUCCGUGCCAGCCGCCGCAGUAA
RNAcentral lists this ribosomal RNA (498 nucleotides) under uncultured bacterium. Its description in RNAcentral is "partial 16S ribosomal RNA". It matches the Rfam family "Bacterial small subunit ribosomal RNA", at positions 28 to 523 of the family's 1533-position model. The record is from RNAcentral.